Long non-coding RNA from Girardinichthys multiradiatus, 1877 nucleotides. RefSeq lists it as uncharacterized. The record is from RefSeq and is a predicted model, not a curated record. The transcript has 3 exons. Lineage: Eukaryota; Metazoa; Chordata; Actinopteri; Cyprinodontiformes; Goodeidae.
UGGAAAGCUAUUAAUCAUAGAAAAUCCAGACAAAUGCAAAGUUUGGGAAUCUAGUGAUUAGUGGUAAAUUGCCUUGUGUUUCCCCUUAGGUAGAAUGUGCUUGUCUGCAGGUGUGUGGAUGGUUGCUGAUGCCACAGUGUAGUGCACUAAGGCUGAACCCCUGGGAUAUUAGAAUGCAGCCUAGUGUGUGUGCCGGAAUGUUUGGAUAUGUGUCACAUAUGGUUUAUCUCUCUCAAAAGAUGGGCCUGUCGCAGCCACUUUCAUCCGCUGUUACCACGACGAUUAAUACAUUUUAAAAAAUGUCCCCUUCACUUUUCCCCCAUGUCGGUCUCACACUUACACCCACAGAGGCACACACACACUGAUCGCUAUUCAACGGGAGUUACUGCAACAUCAGCAGCACAAGCAUCUCUGCCUUCAGAGGCUGAUCAAUCUGAACCACCGCAGCAAUGAUGAAUCACACCAGUCAAGAAGGAAGAAAAGUGAAAAGGUAGUAGGAAGGAUGAGAGAAAACAAAGACGUAUAAUAAUAUGGACAGGUUUGUUAAAAAGAACAAAAAAACACCUAGGAAACCUAGUGUGGAAAAAUUGAGGAGAAAACCAUUCAACUAAGCCAAACACGCAAAUCUGAACUCCAUUAUGUUGAUCUUUCCUUUAGAUGCUUUCAGUCUAGGUUCAAGGACUGAAGGACAAAUGAUAUUCUGAAGCCAAGUACUUGAAAUUCAUCCCUAAAUGCUAUUUUCUGGUUGCAACAAGCAUUACAACAGAAACAUAUUUCGAGACAGGGGUCCAGUUCAGGUUUUCUGUGAUAUUUGUAUGGCUGAUUCACAAGAGCUGAAGAGCUGCUGUCUAAGUGGGCUGUGGAGACAACAAAAUUACACAUACACGCAUGGAGAGCUAUCCCUCAAUGCAUGCAGCUCACACAAACAUACACAUCGUGCACAGCCAUCUUCACCCUCAAUAACACCUUCCCCUUCUAUCAUUAUGCUGUGACUCACAGACGGGCUCCUGCUGUCCAGUGCAUCUGCAGGCAAAAAACACACAAAUCACGUAUACACCCCUCCAGCACUCUCCAUGGUCUAAACAUGCACGUUGUUCAUCUUAACCACCAUCAUUUCCCUGACCGCCGCUUGCGUCGUCCUGGAGGAUCCCUUCAACAGGCUGAUCAUAGUCAUGAUAGGCUCCAUGCAGGAUCUACGUGGAGCCUGAGGGCCCUGCAACAAACUGUUCUGCAGGAAACAAAACAAUGUUCAUUUACAUAAUUAAAUCUAUUUAUGAGAAAAAACAUGAAAGACAAACACCACUUUGAUAGUUUUAAGGAAAUAUGAGAAGAUGAAUGGUUGUCUUAACCCAUACUCUCCACUUUGUGUAGCAUCUUGCCUACUAGUGAUUAAGCCAAGCUGAAGAUAGAUUUAAUUUAAAGUAUACCUCUGAGUUGCAUUUUUAAUCUGACUGCAGGGCGGGCCAAAGGUAUAUGAGUACGUGGGAGCCCAUUUAAAUUAUUUCAGUCAGUAGAAGCCCAGCAGUGACUUUGUUGUUUUUUUAAACCUUUUUCAAUAUUGUCAAAAUAAACUAUAACUAUAUCAGACAUCGAGGGCUUAUUUUAGCCAAUAAUCACCAGUUUAUGGAGCAACACUUCCUCGUGUAAUUUUGACUACCUAAUUAUUAUAAGCAUUUACUGUAGAACUUUAAGUUUAAGUAGAACUGUAUUCUUAAUCAACCUGCAGAACUGGAUCAGUGUUGAAUGAGGUCCUAAGCAGAAUUUGAUUUGGGAGCCCACUUCCAGCUCAGUCUGCCACAAUUAUUACAGGCUUGGGAGGAGGUAAAGUUUAUUAUUUUGUUCAUAAAAGCUCAGUGAACUAGCUUCAUUCAGUUAAA